UUUUGUUUUUUAAUUUUAAAACAAUGAGUCUAAUAGACCGAAAAAGGAAUCUUCAAUCUGGAAGUUCCAUAAGACAAAUCUUAAAUAAAGAUUUUAAAUCUAAAGAUAAUAAGAUCUUUAGAAAAUGGUAUAAAAACCAUUUUACUAAAAUUGAGAUGAAAAAUCAUCGAACUCAGUAUUUCCAAGACUUAGAAACCAUAGGAGAAUUACAAGGUUUUGUCCUUUGGUUUUGUAGGUUCUAUAAAAAUCAAUUAGAACUUAAAGGUCUUGAAGAACUUCUAAUAAAAGAAGAAGUCUUAGAUAAUUCUAGGACUAACCCUGAUAAAUCAGUUAGGGUAGAAAAUAUAUCUGAUAAG
RNAcentral lists this long non-coding RNA (356 nucleotides) under Phoenix dactylifera (date palm). Its description in RNAcentral is "long non-coding RNA (PDAC_LNC008944)". The record is from RNAcentral. Lineage: Eukaryota; Viridiplantae; Streptophyta; Magnoliopsida; Arecales; Arecaceae.